CAGCCGCCACGGUAAUACAGAGGGUGCGAGCGUUAAUCGGAUUUACUGGGCGUAAAGCGUGCGUAGGAGGCUUUUUAAGUCGGAUGUGAAAUCCCUGAGCUUAACUUAGGAAUUGCAUUCGAUACUGGGAAGCUAGAGUAUGGUAGAGGAUGGUAGAAUUCCAGGUGUAGCGGUGAAAUGCGUAGAGAUCUGGAGGAAUACCGAUGGCGAAGGCAGCCAUCUGGCCUAAUACUGACGCUGAGGUACGAAAGCAUGGGGAGCAAACAGGAUUAGAUACCCCAGUAGUCCCUGUCUCUUAUAC
Molecule: ribosomal RNA, 301 nt
Filed under: uncultured bacterium
Lineage: Bacteria
Description: partial 16S ribosomal RNA
Rfam family: Bacterial small subunit ribosomal RNA
Source: RNAcentral